UGGGUCAUGAGGUGGGCAGGGGGU
This 24-nucleotide unclassified non-coding RNA is filed under the name Mus musculus (house mouse). RNAcentral describes it as "oocyte_clustered_small_RNA6152". The record is from RNAcentral. Lineage: Eukaryota; Metazoa; Chordata; Mammalia; Rodentia; Muridae.